CUCUGAUCGUGUGGUUAGAUGGUUCCAUGGUGGCUAUUGGCCAAGUGUGCCUUAUCUAUUACAGUUAAUAUUAUCAUCUCUCCCAAAAUCAAAACUUUCCUCUGCAAACAUUCUCUUAUCCAUGGCUUCAUCUACUCUCUCUCCGGUAGCUCCUUCACAGCUAUGCUCUGGCAAGAGUGCAAUGUUCUCUCCUACACAUGCUGCGUUUGCAAAGCCAACAAGAAGCCAUAUGGUGACCAAGGACAGAUCAAUGAGAAUCACUUGUCAGGCCACAAGUGUUCCGGCUGAUGAUAGAGUUCCUGAUAUGGGCAAGAGGCAGCUCAUGAAUCUGCUGCUUCUGGGUGCUAUUUCUCUCCCUACUGGUUUCAUGGUGGUUCCUUAUGCGACCUUCUUUGUACCAGCUGGGAGUGGUGGUUCUGGAGGUGGUACCGUUGCCAAGGAUGCCACUGGAAACGAUGUCAUUGCAGAACAAUGGCUUAAGACUCAUGGCCCUGGAGACCGAACCCUAACUCAAGGAUUAAAGGGAGAUCCCACCUACCUUGUUGUGGAGAAGGACAGAACUCUCGCAACAUAUGGAAUUAAUGCAGUCUGCACACAUCUUGGGUGUGUCGUGCCCUGGAAUGCUGCUGAGAAUAAAUUCAUCUGUCCCUGCCAUGGAUCCCAGUACAAUGACCAAGGAAGAGUUGUGAGAGGGCCUGCUCCUCUGUCACUCGCCCUGGCUCAUGCUGAUGUAGAUGACGGCAAGGUGGUCUUUGUCCCAUGGGUUGAAACAGAUUUCAGAACUGGAGAUGCUCCAUGGUGGGCUUAGUUAGCUUCCUGCCACGCCAAUUCUCCCAUAAUUCAUGUUGAAGAUGUAAUGAAUGAAUCAAUUGUUUUGGGGCUUCCUGAACACAUGCAGUGGAGGUUAUGAAAAUGGGUUGUAUUUUAAGAGGAAGGAAUGUUGAGUUCAUCGCAGCACUUCAACAACAAAUUCUUGGUAAUUUUAAUAUUUUUACGGUUAAGACCAUGACUUUUAGAGACGUUUUAAGCUGGCUCAAGGAUGGUGGUUGGUCCUCGGUUAUUGUAAAGUCAGACACUCAACUUUAAGUUCGAGCUAUAGCUAUUCCAAUUACGAGGAUUUGUCAUUAUUUGAUAGUCUUAUUUUUUUAUUGUAAAUCUCUUAUUUUGGAGAUAAUUUCUAUUUUUAUUAACUUUGUUCGUAAGUUUGCUAAUAGUGUAAUUCAUGCGUUUAUUUGAGUUAGGUAUGA
RNA transcript from Manihot esculenta (cassava), 1247 nucleotides. It is a transcript of the gene named cytochrome b6-f complex iron-sulfur subunit, chloroplastic, with no coding region annotated. The record is from RefSeq and is a predicted model, not a curated record. The transcript has 6 exons. NCBI's taxonomy places the organism in Eukaryota, Viridiplantae, Streptophyta, Magnoliopsida, Malpighiales, Euphorbiaceae.